Molecule: long non-coding RNA, 708 nt
Organism: Mauremys reevesii (Reeves's turtle)
Lineage: Eukaryota; Metazoa; Chordata; Testudines; Geoemydidae
Exons: 3
Source: RefSeq, a predicted model, not a curated record
GUUCAUCGGACCACUGUGAGAAAAACAUUAGAAAACACAUACUUUUGGAGGCAAAGUAAAAAAAUGUUAAGUUUCUUCUGUAUUUCCCUAACAUCCAGAGAGUAGGGAAAUACUACGCAUCAUAUCAAAGAAGAUUGGGAUUGUGGCUUUUCGUAGCUCAACUUCUGGAAUCAGAGUCAUUUCCAAGAUCGGUCCAACCAUCCCCGGAAUAAAGCAGAUUUUAUUCUGGCCUAAAACAGAAUGGUGAAAGAACUAUUGGAAAAGAGAAGAAAACUACCAUUUUGGAGUUACAUAUCACAGAAAAGGAGAACUGAACGCUAAGGCCAAAAAAAAAGGUAAAAGAAGAAAAUUAUAGAUACUGAAUACAGUGAAGCUUACAGUCGCUGUACUAGGAAUUUCGUGAAUACAUUCAAAAUGCAGGAGAGUCAAGCAAGAAGUUAAAAUAUUAAACACAGUUAUGAAAUAUACUGUAAUAUGUUUAUCAAUCUCUGUAUCUAACCUACAAGUUACUUUCAUAUCAUACCAUACCAUUCCCUAAGAUUCUGCGUUUAGUCUCUCUUUGUAAGUGCCAAUUCCAUGUAACCUCUCCUCAACGGUUAUACCUCCCCCAUGUUCAAACCAAAUCACUUGAUUUGUUCUUUGUUGACCCCCGAUUUCAUUAGUGUACCUCAAAUAAUACACAGCGCCAAAAUGAAUAUAUUUUCCUAA